Molecule: transfer RNA, 69 nt
Filed under: Ictidomys tridecemlineatus (thirteen-lined ground squirrel)
Lineage: Eukaryota; Metazoa; Chordata; Mammalia; Rodentia; Sciuridae
Description: Spermophilus tridecemlineatus (thirteen-lined ground squirrel) tRNA
Rfam family: tRNA
About the family: Transfer RNA (tRNA) molecules are approximately 80 nucleotides in length.
Source: Rfam by way of RNAcentral
GGGGUUGUGGCUCAGUGGUAGAGCGCUUGCCUAGCACGCACGAGGCACUGGGUUUGAUCCUCAGCACCA